AUUCUGUGACUAUUCAUGAUGGU
RNAcentral lists this non-coding RNA (23 nucleotides) under Rattus norvegicus (Norway rat). Lineage: Eukaryota; Metazoa; Chordata; Mammalia; Rodentia; Muridae. The record is from RNAcentral.